Molecule: long non-coding RNA, 536 nt
Organism: Nicotiana tabacum (common tobacco)
Lineage: Eukaryota; Viridiplantae; Streptophyta; Magnoliopsida; Solanales; Solanaceae
Source: RefSeq, a predicted model, not a curated record
AACAGAAAUAUAGUCACACAGAAGUUUCAUAAAACAUCAAGUACGAUUCCCCAAAUGGCAUUUUCUAAGCUUGGUUAUAUUUAUGCUAUUUUCCUCAUGGUAGCCAUUGUUAAUUUGAUAUAUUUCUCCAAGAUGCAAGUAAUGGCUGCACGGGAUAUUGAUUAUGAUCUCCCAGAAAUGGAAAGGAGAUUACUCCCUCAACUUAAUACUUGUUUUAGGUCUUGCAAAUUCGACAAUGACUGCAGUGACUGCAUAAUUUGUUGUCAUUGUAAUUACGCGACAUUCAACACGUUCCAAUGUGGUAUCAGGACUGGAAUAUAAAGAGAACACUAUUGUCCAAUUGCAACAACCUGCUCCAAAACCAUGUAACACAUUUAUGAUAUCCUAUAAUUGCUAUGUUUCCUUCCUCUUUUCCUCUUUCCGUUAUUGUAUGUUGUACGAAUAAUGAUGUAUGUCAGGUAAUGACAUCCAAUUCAGGAAUAAAGAUAAAUUAAUCUCGUCUUGUCGAGAUUAUAUAUAUGUAUGGUUAUUAUAUA